RNAcentral lists this ribosomal RNA (706 nucleotides) under uncultured bacterium. RNAcentral's name for it is "bacterial SSU rRNA". It matches the Rfam family "Bacterial small subunit ribosomal RNA", at positions 1 to 705 of the family's 1533-position model. The record is from RNAcentral.
GUUGAACGGGAUUCGUGCUCAACACCGAGCAUUUGGAAUGGUCAGAAGCGUAUAAGCGCGAAGCGUUUUACACGAAGAAGCCACAGCCAAUGCUGGGUGUUGAGCAUGAUGAGAGUAGCGGACGGGCGAGUAACGCGUGAGUAACCUGCCCUUUGCUGGGGGAUAACAUCGGGAAACCGGUGCUAAUACCGCAUAAGACCACAGUGCCACAUGGUACGGCGGUCAAAGCUCCGGCGGCAGAGGAUGGACUCGCGUCCAAUUAGCUAGUUGGUAGGGUAAUGGCCUACCAAGGCGACGAUUGGUAUCCGAACUGAGAGGUUGAUCGGACGCAUUGGGACUGAGACACGGCCCAGACUCCUACGGGAGGCAGCAGUGGGGAAUAUUGCGCAAUGGGGGCAACCCUGACGCAGCAACGCCGCGUGAAGGAUGAAGGCUUUCGGGUUGUAAACUUCUUUGAUCGGGGACGAAGAUGACGGUACCCGAGGAACAAGCCACGGCUAACUACGUGCCAGCAGCCGCGGUAAUACGUAGGUGGCAAGCGUUGUCCGGAAUUACUGGGUGUAAAGGGCGUGUAGGCGGGGAGACAAGUCAGAUGUGAAAUACCGUGGCUUAACUGCGGGGGUGCAUCUGAAACUGUUUCUCUUGAGUGUCGGAGAGGAAAGUGGAAUUCCCAGUGUAGCGGUGAAAUGCGUAGAGAUUGGGAGGA